GAUAAACGCUGGCGGCGUGCUUAACACAUGCAAGUCGAACGAAGUUUUUCCUUCGGGAGAAACUUAGUGGCGGACGGGUGAGUAACGCGUGGGUAACCUGCCCUGUACAGGGGGACAACAGCUGGAAACGGCUGCUAAUACCGCAUAAGCCCUUAGCACUGCAUGGUGGAUAGGGAAAAGGAGCAAUCCGGUACAGGAUGGACCCGCGUCUGAUUAGCCAGUUGGCAGGGUAACGGCCUACCAAAGCGACGAUCAGUAGCCGAUCUGAGAGGAUGUACCGCCACAUUGGGACUGAGACCCGGCCCAGACUCCUACGGGGGGCAGCAGUGGGGAAUAUUGCACAAUGGAGGAAAAUCUGAUGCAGCGACGCCGCGUGAGUGAAGAAGUAUUUCGGUAUGUAAAGCUCUAUCAGCAGGGAAGAAAAUGACGGUACCUGACUAAGAAGCACCGGCUAAAUACGUG
This 462-nucleotide ribosomal RNA is filed under the name uncultured bacterium. Its description in RNAcentral is "partial 16S ribosomal RNA". It matches the Rfam family "Bacterial small subunit ribosomal RNA", at positions 28 to 507 of the family's 1533-position model. The record is from RNAcentral.